This is a long non-coding RNA of Sinocyclocheilus rhinocerous, 231 nucleotides long. RefSeq lists it as uncharacterized. The transcript has 3 exons. NCBI's taxonomy places the organism in Eukaryota, Metazoa, Chordata, Actinopteri, Cypriniformes, Cyprinidae. The record is from RefSeq and is a predicted model, not a curated record.
CAAUAGAUCUGAAGACCAUUGCACAACGAAUACAGAUGGGCUACUAUAAAAGUGUAAACCAUAUGGCUAAAGACAUUGACUUGUUAGUCAAAAAUGCCAAAACCUACAAUGAACCCGGAUCACAAGUAUUUAAAGAUGCAAACACCAUCAAAAAGAUUUUUUCACAAAGAAAACUGGAGCUUGAACAUUCUGAACCUAUUAAAAGCAGCAUCAGGAUCAGGUAAAUUAUGU